RNAcentral lists this ribosomal RNA (791 nucleotides) under uncultured bacterium. RNAcentral's name for it is "bacterial SSU rRNA". It matches the Rfam family "Bacterial small subunit ribosomal RNA", at positions 8 to 796 of the family's 1533-position model. The record is from RNAcentral.
AGAGUUUGAUCAUGGCUCAGAUUGAACGCUGGCGGCAGGCCUAACACAUGCAAGCCGAGCGGAUGAAGAGAGCUUGCUCUCGGAUUCAGCGGCGGACGGGUGAGUAAUGCCUAGGAAUCUGCCUGGUAGUGGGGGACAACGUUUCGAAAGGAACGCUAAUACCGCAUACGUCCUACGGGAGAAAGCAGGGGACCUUCGGGCCUUGCGCUAUCAGAUGAGCCUAGGUCGGAUUAGCUAGUUGGUGGGGUAAUGGCUCACCAAGGCGACGAUCCGUAACUGGUCUGAGAGGAUGAUCAGUCACACUGGAACUGAGACACGGUCCAGACUCCUACGGGAGGCAGCAGUGGGGAAUAUUGGACAAUGGGCGAAAGCCUGAUCCAGCCAUGCCGCGUGUGUGAAGAAGGUCUUCGGAUUGUAAAGCACUUUAAGUUGGGAGGAAGGGCAGUACAUUAAUACUGUGCUGUUUUGACGUUACCGACAGAAUAAGCACCGGCUAACUCUGUGCCAGCAGCCGCGGUAAUACAGAGGGUGCAAGCGUUAAUCGGAAUUACUGGGCGUAAAGCGCGCGUAGGUGGUUCGUUAAGUUGGAUGUGAAAUCCCCGGGCUCAACCUGGGAACUGCAUCCAAAACUGGCGAGCUAGAGUAGGGCAGAGGGUGGUGGAAUUUCCUGUAGCGGUGAAAUGCGUAGAUAUAGGAAGGAACACCAGUGGCGAAGGCGACCACCUGGGCUCAUACUGACACUGAGGUGCGAAAGCGUGGGGAGCAAACAGGAUUAGAUACCCUAGUAGUCC